This is a long non-coding RNA of Pogoniulus pusillus (Red-fronted tinkerbird), 1658 nucleotides long. RefSeq lists it as uncharacterized. The record is from RefSeq and is a predicted model, not a curated record. NCBI's taxonomy places the organism in Eukaryota, Metazoa, Chordata, Aves, Piciformes, Lybiidae. The transcript has 2 exons.
UUUCUCCUCUUUCUGGAGGCGGUUUUAUAGCGGUGGGUAGGGCCGGCAGCUCGGCGCUGCCCAGCCCCGCGGCGAGGGGUCGCGCCUCCGCCCCGACGUGCCGGGCCCCGCCGGGGCGAUGCCCGGGGCAGGAGGAGCGGUGGCUCUGCUGGCGCUGCGCUCACUUUUUGCACCUCUGCGAGUUGCUGGGCAUCGGCCGCUUUCAAGGCAGUGGUGCGGGGGUGGAGGGCCGAGGGGGGGCGGAUUUGCUGCUGCAAAGUCUCCCGCGGCCCAAUAGCUCCCGCCGCCCUGCGCUGACAUCAGCUCCGCCAGCCCUCACCCCCAAACUCCGCUCCCCAUGGGCUGCCGGCUGUGCCCGGCUCCCGGCAGAGAGCGAGGGAGAGUGGCCCCGGAGGGAAUAAAAACAUCCUGCUGCCUCGUCUGCGAGAAGCCGGAGGGGCAGCUGUGCAAGAAGGGAGGCUGCAGGCGGGAUUGCCAGCCGUUCCCCUCGCCACCGCCCCCCCCCUCCUCGCUCUAGACCAUGUGGAUGCUGAACAGUCUGUUUCCAGAGACCGAGAAAUGCUGCUGCCGUCCUCCCUAACCAAACCCUUAUUAACUAGUUCACUAAUUUCAAUGCCUAUUAUGCCCAGGGAAACAAUAUGAGUUACUGCUGAAGGAUCCCUGUAUCCACGAGCCUUCUGCAAGAGGCUGAGUGUAGCGAUUCCCCUUGAAUCUCCAGUCUUUAAGCUUGUGUUGCCCUAAGCACAGCUGACCCUCGUCUACUCACGUGGCAAAAGGUUGUAGCUGUGUGCAAAACGCAACUGCAUAUCCAACCGCAUAUAAACCAACUUCUGACCACUCUGGAAAUGAAGCCACUCAGUUGAGAAGCCAGUUUUAGAAAACUCUCUUCUGUGCUCUGUUAGAGAUCUAAAAGAGAAGCAAGGUCCAGUUAGAAAGAAAAUGAGCUUCCCAGGAUAUUAAUUAAUUUUUAGGAAUGGCUUCAAGUUGCACACAUUCUUUAAUGUUUCUGAAGAUUUUCUUUCUGAUAACAUUUUCUUAUGCUCUCAAAAUUGCUGAGGUGUUACAAAGAUAGGCUGGCAUGGCCCAUCCCUCCAGAAGUCAUGCUAUCAAACCAACCUGAAAAGCCACCAAUUCUCAGACACCAUUAUUGGAUGUUCACAAUUUCAUGAGCUGCUUUUCAGUUCUGGGCACAGGUGUGAGCAAGCAUCAUCAAGGCAACAUUGGCAGCAGCUGAACUAUACUGGCAGUACAGCUCCCUCCUAAACUGGUUUCAGGUGUGAGUCCUGAGGUGAAAGACUCUUCUCUAUGCUGUCUGGAGAGCUGUGACCUCUUGUAACCCAUCACAACUACUGAUCCCAGUCAGUAGAUCAAAACUUACAUUCCUGUUCUUUUAACACAGGCAGGUCUCUUUCAGCACUAGAGGUACUACUCAAGCAAAGAGUCCAAACUUUGUGGGCUUUGUGACAAUUCACUCAGGAUCUCUUAAGAGAAGUGAAGGGCAGUCCAAGCAGUUUUAUCAACUUGAAAACUGAUGAUGACUGAGAGAGUGUGAUGGGGAAGGAGAGUGUGAAGGUGGCUGCCAGGUUGCACACCUUAUUUAUAAAUUACCAUUUAAAUUUCCAUGUCUAAGCAAUGUAAGGGCAGAGUUGAAAAAGUUA